This 763-nucleotide long non-coding RNA is filed under the name Camelus dromedarius (Arabian camel). Its description in RNAcentral is "lncRNA (ENSCDRG00005016421.1)". Lineage: Eukaryota; Metazoa; Chordata; Mammalia; Artiodactyla; Camelidae. The record is from RNAcentral.
GAAAAUAACAAGCGGGGUGUAAGGGUCCCAAACAAGAGAGCUCCAAGCCCCGAUGUAUCUGGAGGCCUUCCAGCAUUCCUUGUAUAGAGCACAGUCUGAGACCGGGAGGAGGGCUCUAAAUAGUUUAUUCCAGGGACGGGGGAGGGCCAGGCGGGCGUCCAGGAGCGACGGACCAGGUCGGUGGAGCCUCAGUGGGGGGCGCCCUGCGGAAAACAGAAAGUGAGGACGCAGCUAGGGAGCAAACAGGUUUCCUAGACAGCUCCAUCCCACGCCGUCCCACCUCUUUCUUCCUGCAAUCGCCACAGAAGACACCAAUGGUCGCGUUCACCAGCUGCAGCCCACACAGCAAGAUCUCCAGGCACGAGGCGGCCACCAGCAGCGAGAAGAGAGUCACGUUCCAGUAGACAAUACCAGGCUGCUGGUGGCCGCCUCGUGCCUGGAGAUCUUGCUGUGUGGGCUGCAGCUGGUGAACGCGACCAUUGGUGUCUUCUGUGGCGAUUGCAGGAAGAAAGAGGGCGCCCCCCACUGAGGCUCCACCGACCUGGUCCGUCGCUCCUGGACGCCCGCCUGGCCCUCCCCCGUCCCUGGAAUAAACUAUUUAGAGCCCUCCUCCCGGUCUCAGACUGUGCUCUAUACAAGGAAUGCUGGAAGGCCUCCAGAUACAUCGGGGCUUGGAGCUCUCUUGUUUGGGACCCUUACACCCCGCUUGUUAUUUUCUUAAUAAAUAGUUACUGAGCUAUUGGUGCGCUGGAAAUACAGUGUA